GCCGGUGUAGCGCAGUGGUAGCGCAGCUGCUUCGUAAGCAGUUGGUCGGGGGUUCAAAUCCCUCCACCGGCACCA
RNAcentral lists this transfer RNA (75 nucleotides) under Rubrivivax sp. RNAcentral describes it as "tRNA-Thr". It matches the Rfam family "tRNA". Rfam says of the family: Transfer RNA (tRNA) molecules are approximately 80 nucleotides in length. Their secondary structure includes four short double-helical elements and three loops (D, anti-codon, and T loops). The record is from RNAcentral. RNAcentral also lists the same sequence under 2 other names. Lineage: Bacteria; Pseudomonadati; Pseudomonadota; Betaproteobacteria; Burkholderiales; Sphaerotilaceae.